GAGUUUGAUCCUGGCUCAGGAUGAACGCUGGCGGCGUGCUUAACACAUGCAAGUCGAGCGAAGCACUUUUUUAGAACUCUUCGGAGGGAAGAGAGGGUGACUUAGCGGCGGACGGGUGAGUAACGCGUGGGCAACCUGCCUUACACAGGGGGAUAACAAUUAGAAAUGAUUGCUAAUACCGCAUAAGACCCCGGUACCGCAUGGUACAGAGGUAAAAACUGAGGUGGUGUAAGAUGGGCCCGCGUCUGAUUAGGUAGUUGGUGGGGUAGAAGCCUACCAAGCCGACGAUCAGUAGCCGACCUGAGAGGGCGACCGGCCACAUUGGGACUGAGACACGGCCCAAACUCCUACGGGAGGCAGCAGUGGGGAAUAUUGCACAAUGGGGGAAACCCUGAUGCAGCGACGCCGCGUGAGUGAGGAAGUAUUUCGGUAUGUAAAGCUCUAUCAGCAGGGAAGAAAAUGACGGUACCUGACUAAGAAGCCCCGGCUAACUACGUGCCAGCAGCCGCGGUAAUACGUAGGGGGCAAGCGUUAUCCGGAUUUACUGGGUGUAAAGGGAGCGUAGACGGAUAAGCAAGUCUGAUGUGAAAAUCCGGGGCCCAACCCCGGAAUUGCAUUGGAAACUGCAUAUCUAGAGUGUCGGAGAGGC
This 649-nucleotide ribosomal RNA is filed under the name uncultured bacterium. RNAcentral describes it as "bacterial SSU rRNA". It matches the Rfam family "Bacterial small subunit ribosomal RNA", at positions 9 to 658 of the family's 1533-position model. The record is from RNAcentral.